UUUGUGUAGAACUUGGUAUAAACAGAUCUUUCUUUUCUUUUCAGAAAUUACUAAGCUCUGUUGGUGCCACAGCUGAUCCUUCUUCAGUUCCAGAGGCGUCUUCUGGUGCCAGCAGCUCUUGACAGUGGUACUUCACUGGUGCUUGAGGGACUUUAACGGACGGAUGACAGGCAGCAAAGACUGGCCAGAACGAGAGAGAAAUGGGGCUGCUGUUUGGAACAUGGAUGCCCUGGUGGUUUGCUUGCUACUGUGCCACAUACAACUGCAGAAGAAAGGAACGCACUGACAUUAAAAGAUCCUCAUUUGCUCCGUGUUGUCUCUGCAUCUGUUCCUACUGAGUUCUCCUCUCGCAUUCAUUACAAUUGAUUCUAAAUUAUCUUGACACCAUUUUCUAGUCUAUAAACAAAAAACCUUCCCCAUACUUCUCAGGGAAGGUCAAAGCCCCUUGCUGAGGACAUGAUCAUCGUAGCAGAUGAGAGAGAGAAACUUUUAUCUAGCAAAAGAACUGGUGCUGCAUCCUGACUGAUAAUGUAGCAACAAUCGAUCAAAUGGUAAUUCCUAUUAAAAAGCACUCUAUGAGGGGGAAGAAAUGUUUUCAUUUUGAUAAAUAAAGAAAAAAACUACA
Molecule: non-coding RNA, 625 nt
Organism: Equus caballus (horse)
Lineage: Eukaryota; Metazoa; Chordata; Mammalia; Perissodactyla; Equidae
Source: RefSeq, a predicted model, not a curated record